RNAcentral lists this ribosomal RNA (253 nucleotides) under uncultured bacterium. RNAcentral describes it as "partial 16S ribosomal RNA". It matches the Rfam family "Bacterial small subunit ribosomal RNA", at positions 524 to 776 of the family's 1533-position model. The record is from RNAcentral.
UACGGGGGGGGCAAGCGUUGUUCGGAAUUACUGGGCGUAAGGGGCUCGUAGGUGGCCAACUAAGUCAGACGUGAAAUCCCUCGGCUUAACCGGGGAACUGCGUCUGAUACUGGACGGCUUGAGUUUGGGAGAGGGACGCGGAAUUCCAGGUGUAGCGGUGAAAUGCGUAGAUAUCUGGAGGAACACCGGUGGCGAAGGCGGCGUCCUGGACCAACACUGACACUGAGGAGCGAAAGCCAGGGGAGCAAACGGG